This 253-nucleotide ribosomal RNA is filed under the name uncultured bacterium. RNAcentral describes it as "partial 16S ribosomal RNA". It matches the Rfam family "Bacterial small subunit ribosomal RNA", at positions 524 to 776 of the family's 1533-position model. The record is from RNAcentral.
UACGGAGGGUGCAAGCGUUAUCCGGAUUCACUGGGUUUAAAGGGUGCGUAGGUGGGCAUGUAAGUCAGUGGUGAAAUCUCCGUGCUUAACACGGAAACUGCCAUUGAUACUAUGUUUCUUGAAUUAUCUGGAGGUCAGCGGAAUAUGUCAUGUAGCGGUGAAAUGCUUAGAUAUGACAUAGAACACCAAUUGCGAAGGCAGCUGGCUACAGGUGGAUUGACACUGAGGCACGAAAGCGUGGGGAUCAAACAGG